UUCAUCCAUUACAUUUUAUUACAUGAAAGCCGACAAUGACUUUUUUGUUAUGUUUUUUGGUAACUAGAAUGUCUAGAUCUACUAAUCUACUAGAUUUCUAGAUUUAAGAUUAUAAUGAUGAUAAGAUCUAGAGUCUAGAUCUAGAAUGUUAAUCUAGAUCUAGAAAUAGAAUUAGUAAAAUUAGUUAUUUAAAUUAGUGCGGGGCCCUUGCUGCUUGCUAAUUGCUUGACACUUGACUUGAAAGCGCGGGGCCCACUGCGACUGCAUUAAAAAUGAUAACAUAGGACAUAGUACUCAUAGGUUGCAGUGGCCUAAGUCUAAGGCUAAGACCGGCCCUGAUUUUAUACGCCUAACAGAGCUUCAUGAAUUGAUGAAAAGUGAAAAGACAUUUAUACUAGACUAGCAGCGUCCUAGGAAUGUCUGAAAUCAGCUAGAAUCUAGAGAUUGAGAGCUUUUAAAGACCACAGCCCAGUUUAAACAGCUGUAUGUCAAAAUAAUACACGGCCAAAUAAAAGUCUUUGGAAAAGAGUUAUUUGUAAGAGCUUCAAUAUUGCAAUACUAUGCAAGAUGAGGAUAUGCUUUCUAAUAUGCUUGUAACAAUUACUGAUAAUUACCCAUGACUUUUUUUGUCAAAUUAAACACAUAGUCUGCCAGUGGUAAGUUUUAAUUAUUUUUUCAUUCUGUGUCUGUCUUUGGUGGUAGCAUUUAUGUAACGGCCCCUUGAGGAACGGCACCUGGAUUGUGACAAGGUUCUGGGAGCUUUUUUACAACUCCACACAGUGCAAUGAGGAUGCUCUCGCACCCCCUUAGGCACCCCCACGGGAGUCUUGUUUUGCUACCCUUUAGCCUAAUCGUUACCUCCUACGAUCAUUUCCACCCGGGCGCCACUAUGAGGCAGGGUAGCAUGCCCGGGAAACAUUGCACCAUAAAAAAUAACUCUGAAACAAGGCACCAUUUAUUCCAAAUUGGCUAUUUAAGUUUGUGGAAUGUUUGCAUAUGCUGCCCAGCCAACUGAUAUGUUUGCAUGUGCUGCCCAACCAACUGAUAUUAUAUAUGCUCCAUGAUGCAUUAUUCUAACAUGGCUGCUUGGUGGUUUGGAAUCUCAACAAGAAAACAAGUGCCUGGGCCCACUUUCUCUUUCUACUAUUCUGAAAAACCCUAUGUUCUCUCGCUAUAGACCAUGACACGAUUAUAUUUUGUAUGAAAAAUAUUUCCAUUCAUCUAUCUCAACCACAAUGGGUUCAAAAUUUUAUUUUCAGCGAUGCCACCAAUUUGCAAAGCAUUAGUUUCAUUCCAUUGUGCACAUUCCUUGCACAAGAUAUUGCACCAAUCUGAUUUAUCCACUCUUAACAUUUGAUGCUGUAGCAUGUCACUAAGCCUAACAAUUAGUCAUGAUAAUUGUUUUAUGCUUAAGUGGCUGCUUUAUAGAUUACAUAGUAAUAUGUUACUUCAAAAAAAGAUAAUUAUGUAAUAAGCAUUUCAUGUGUCAAUAUAGAUAUAUAUUCAUGUUAAUCAGUGACUUGAACUCUGCUUAUAGUGUUAGAAUGUCCAUAUUUGCAUGUGUACUGUGUGCCACGUUCAAAUGCUUAACCCUCUGCAUCCUGCUAAGCAUUGUGAUGCUUGUAAACAACUACAUAUCGAGAAAAGUAUUUGCCUGGAAAAAGGUAAAGAGAUUCAGACCAACAUCUACAUCACAAUACAGGAGCAUUGUAACCACUGCAUUAGUUGCAACUGUCUUGAACUGUGGCAAGAGUACAAGGCUACUGGAAAUAAUGAAGCCUGUUCAGUGUGCCCAACACCUUCUGGGUACCUGGUAAACUAUGAAUAGUUAACAUGCCCGAAAUCCAAGUAAUUAUUGAUAGCCGAAGUAGAGAUACUUGAGGAUUGUGAAGUGGAAUCAAGUAAAGACAUGCUCUACCGUACAGCCCACGCCAUAUGUCAAGAUAAAAUUAUCAAGAAGCCAUUGAAUGAGGAAAAAAACUCAUUCAUUGACAUAUCAGACUGUUAUGAUGUUAUGAUGGGAAUAGGCAUCUCUUUGCAUUAUAGGUGUGUGCAUAGAUUUUCUAACAGGUCUUGUCAACAACUUCCAACAACUUAGCUGAGAGCAUGAAUGCAAUUGACCUUGCGGUCUGGAAACAACAGCAUGAUUGCUGUAGUAAUCAUCAUUAUUCCAGCAAAUCUGUGGAACAGAACAGUGACGUAAUUUUGUGGAAUCGUUCUGUGGCGAAAUACAAUUUCAGAUAUGUCGAUGCUGAGUGAUGAAACUUUUAAAGCUGUGGUUGAGUUUAACUUGACUGCAUCAAUCAUGCCCAUAAAUGUAUUGGGACAGCCCUUUGAAAACUUGCCAAAGAAAGCCAUCUCAUGGCAAAGUUGUUGGCAGGUUAACAGAAACAAAAAAUGUGACAGUCUACAAAAUUUUUAUCUUGGUGCUAUAGUGGACAAUGUUUCAGAUGUUUCCAAAAUGAGGAAUGCUGUUUGGGCGGGAGUAUACCACUCCAUAUCCAGAUACUGAACACCAUCAUUGACAGUGUCCUCCGAAAAAAUGGUUAGUGCUGGCACGAACAGGCCAUUCACCCGUUUUCACAGUAUUUUAUAUUUGAUAUGAAUAAGUUGGCUGAAAGGGUAAAGAUAUUUUCACAUUCUACUUUUCUGUUGGUGGCAAAAUAAAAAAAAAUGUGAAGGGAACAUUUGUCUUGUUUACCAUCGAUCUAAAUUCAAUCUACUAGAUCAGUAAUACACAAACUAAGGCCUGCAGGUCCUAUCCAGCUAGCAUUUUAUAAUAUACUAUUAAGCUAUUUUUUAAAAUCUGUAAUAGCUGUUAUGCCCUAAUAUAAAUUACAUAUUUCUGCUAUCAGAUUUCCAAUUUUUUUUUAGAACUCCUAAAAUCUUCUAAAAUCUUGCCUAUUCUCCUAAAAAUUUUACCCAAUAUUUAAAAAAAAUAAAAUAAUUUUGCUUAUUUCUCGCUAAAAAUGUGAAAAAGAAGUAGAGUGUCUAGGCAUUCUUAUUGCAUGAUUGGCUGGCUGUGUUAAUGAGUUCACCAGUUACUUUCACCCAUGUGUUUAAGCGUGACCUCAUGAUUGAAGAAGUCUUUAGCUCAAGCCGGCAUUUCAUCUGACAUUAUAUUAUUUUAGCUAGUAUCAAGAUCUAAGUUAGAUCUUAUCUUCUUAUCUUAGAAAGUACAGAUGUUACUUUAAAAAAGAUGAAUAUGUCCUACGUGUUUCCCUGGGUCAAUCUAGUCAUGCAUGUUAAUCAAUAACUUAAAUUUUGUCAAAUAUAAUAAUCUUUAUUAUCCAUAAGGAAGAAGGAGCAUUUUUACAAAAUUGUCUUAGCAUAUGGUGUGUCUUUCUGGGUAUUUUAUUAGGUUUUGUUUUUGUAUUUGAAGAUUAUGUUUCAUUGUAUUAUGUAUAAUUGCUACUUUACUUUUAAAACUGAAUUAAAAGAUUUUUCUAAAGGUAUUACUCUAAUCAAAUGUGAAUAUUCAUUUGUUAUGAAUGUCACUGCUCUAUUUGUGUCUGUUCCAGUUUCUUGUUUUCUUGAGUUGAGAGGUCCCAAACGGAGGAUGCAUAUUCUAUUAUUGGCCUAACCAAGGUUAAAUAACAUUUUAGUUUUACAUUGUUAUUUUAAAUAUAAAUUUCUUUUAAUAAAUCCUAAUUCUUUGUUUGAUUUUUUAAUAAUUUCAUCAAUAAGGAGAUUCCAUGAUAGUUUUUCAUUUAUUAUAACAUCUAGUUAUUUUGAGUUUUUAGUCUGUUUUACUGGUUUACCAUGAAUAAGAUAAGUGGAAUUAAUUUUUUUUAGUUUUUUUGUUAUUCUUAAUAACUGACAUUUUUCUGGGUGGAAAGACAUGCUCCAAUUUGAUUCCCAUUUCUUCAUCUAAUUCUCUUUGUAAAAUUUCUGUAUCUUGUGUUGUUUUUAUUGUUCUAUAUAUUAUGCAAUUAUCUGCAAAUAAUCUGAACUAAUGCAAUUUUGUAAAUUAUUUCUGUAAAUUAGAAAUAUUUAGUGGACCUAUGACCGUUCCUUGGGGGUACACCUGAGUUUAAUGUUGAUUUAUUAUUACAGUUUGUUAUCUCCCUAUCUGAAAAUCCUUAAUCCAUUUAUGCAAUAAACAAGCAAUGCCAAAAUAUGUUAAUUUUUUAAGCAAGCUAUGAUGGUGAACUUUGUCAAAUGCUUAGAAAAAUCUAAGAUUGCACAUUAUCUAAUCUUUUUAAAAAUUCAUCAAUUAGUCCUAUUAGUUGUGUUUCAAAUGAUAUAUUUCCUAAAGCCAUGUUGGCUUUAAGUAAGGACAUCAUGUUUGUCUUGGUGGUUUAGGAUGUUGCUACAUAUUAUGUGUUCUAUAAUUUUACAUGUGAUGCUGGUGAGUAAUACAGGAUGAAAUUUCCUGGAUCAGAUUUUUCUCCUUUUUUAAAUAUGUUAUUGAUGUUAGCUUCUUUCCAGUUCCUCAGUACUCUUCACUGAUGAAGAGAUGCCUGAAAAAGUAUUUUGAACACUAGUGCUAGCAAAUACAAAAACAAAAUUUAAUAAAAUACUCUGAAAGACACAAAGAUAAAGGCACAUUCCUCGUCCCAUAUGCUAGGACAAAUUUGUACAAAUACUCCUUCUUCCCUAGUGCUAUUAGAGCAUGGAAUGGGUUGCCUGAGCUAGCCAGGAAAACCAGUGACUUGGCAGAAUUUAAGUCAUUGGUUAAUAUGCAUGACUAAAUGCAUGACGCGUAGGACGUAAUCAUCUUCUUUUUUGAAGUAACGUCUGUAUUAUGUAAGAUAAGAUAAGAUAAUAGCUUAGUUGUUUGAGUAAUCUAGCUUGUAUACCAUCAGGUCCAAUGCUUUAUUUGCUAAUAGUUUUGGAUCCCUUUUUCUAGUGAAGAUAAUUUGCACAUAACCUGAAAGCUACCUGAAUUUGAGUAAAUUUAAUGUAGGAUUUUUUUAUUUUGCGAUAGUUAUUAUACUUACCUCUAAAUUAUAUAUGUUUAGUUAUUUCCUGACAAAAUUGUUUUAUAAUUGAAAUUUUAUUUAGUUUUUUUUUUCAUAUUCUCUUAUAUUGUUUGUUUUUGUAAUAUAUGUCUGCCAAAUGUUAAGACUUUAAAACUAUUUGUGCUACAGAGUUCAUAUUUGGUAUACUCAUUCUGAACAUAGAUAUCUACAAAGAAACUUUUUAUAUUUGAUAUUUUUUUUUGUUUUUUAGCAUUUCAAAGUUUAGAAUUUUAAAAUGUAUAUGUAUUUUUUAAGGUCACAACACUAAAACAAAACAUAAAUAAAAAGCAAUAAAAGAGAACUAAAUUUCC
Molecule: long non-coding RNA, 5275 nt
Organism: Biomphalaria glabrata
Lineage: Eukaryota; Metazoa; Mollusca; Gastropoda; Planorbidae
Exons: 6
Source: RefSeq, a predicted model, not a curated record